GACGUGAGUUGGGUUGGCGUUGGUGCCGGUGCCGUUGUUGGAGGCGGCUCCAGAACCCCAAGUGGAAUUUGCAUAAUUUGAAGCAGCAGCACCUCCAACUGUUGAAUCUAAAAAGAUGAAGACUCCAACCACAGACUCUGCCAUAGGAGGAGUGUGGAACUGCACUGACAAUCUUAUACAAGAAUUCCAGUGGCAGAUGACCAACUGUUCUUUCUUCUUCAGGAUCACAUGGGAAGCCUGUAAAAAGCUGCAAACAGAACCCAGGAAUCGAGUCUACCAGUGCUUUUCUCCCAUUCAAGGGGUCCAGAGUACACGUGUUACGCCUAGUGACUGACUGCUUUGACUGACAAGUUCAACAUUGGAAGAUAAUGUAUUAGUUCUAAAUUAGUAAACAAAGUAAUACAAUGGCAUGGGGGUCCUGUUUUUGUUUGCAACACAGUUAUCAGUAGAUCGACAUCACAUCUCUGAAAAGAAAGUUUGCUAAGCUGCAAGGAAGAGCAAGCAUUUUACUCGUCUUUACAAAAGCCUGUGUAUAUUUUAAAAGUUCUAUCAAUCCAACAGCUGUGCUGUAAUAUUUCUGCAAAAUCUCAUAUUCGUAACUUUUUAUUGUAAAUAAAAUCAUUUUGGUGGCAUAC
Molecule: long non-coding RNA, 635 nt
Organism: Chelonia mydas (Green sea turtle)
Lineage: Eukaryota; Metazoa; Chordata; Testudines; Cheloniidae
Exons: 3
Source: RefSeq, a predicted model, not a curated record